GUUAGGGCUCAGAGUCAAAAUUGUGACUCUUCACGUUCCUUCCUCCCUCUCUUACCCUCAUAUCUCCCUCCUUGCUUGCGAUUUCCGGCGGAAACACCACCGCCUUCGCCGCCGCGAAACGACCUUGCUAUAAAUCCAGGGGCUGGUGGUAAUGAAUAGUGCUGGGCUGCUAUUGAAUAUGUAGCAGCACGGUGAUUCAUCCAUGAUGGAAGCAACCCCUUUUAUAGGUGAUGAACUCUUGGAGAUUAGAAGAAGAUAAGUCUAGAAGGGACAAAUGGUGAAAACGGUUUGGCAUGAGAAUUUGCAAAGGUUUGAAAGCAACAUACACGAUGACCAAAAAGCUUGAAUGUUAGGGAAAAUAAGCUUAGUGUAGUUGGUGUCUUGUUUUACAAAAUGGAUGUUCUUCAUGUAAUGAUACAGGGGUGUUGAAAUGUAAGUUGUAAUGAUACAGUGAUGUAAUGUGAUGAAUGGAUAUCAAAAUGGUCCCCGUUUUUCUUUACUAAUUCAAUUUGUUGUAUAGUUUUCUAUGUAACGGUAUGGAUGUAUCGAAUAUGUAUUAAACACGGAUAUGGGGUAAUGGAUGAAUAUUGUAAUGAAGUUCUUUUCUUUCACAUGAAUGUAACUCUUAUUCUCUUC
Molecule: long non-coding RNA, 636 nt
Organism: Vicia villosa (hairy vetch)
Lineage: Eukaryota; Viridiplantae; Streptophyta; Magnoliopsida; Fabales; Fabaceae
Exons: 2
Source: RefSeq, a predicted model, not a curated record